AAGCACACACAAUCAUAAUCGUCUGGACCAUUCCACCUCCUGACCUUUUCUUUAGCUACCAUCAUGCCAAAUCUCCUCCCUCAUACCUCACCUUCAUACUUCACCUGAGCUCCACCACCUGGGAAAUAACUGAAACCUCUGGACUUCCAUGGUGGUAGUGAACAUAGGCGUCUGAACUUUUACUUACAAAGCCUAUUGUUGCUGGCAGCAAUAUUUCAAAAUGGGUGGAGGAAACCAAUACUAAGGGGCGGAGUUUCUUUAAAUAUGACUAACUUGACUCAACUGGCUGCCACACUUCUCAGUUCUGUUCUAGUCCUCACACUUGGAAAACCUUGCCAAAAUGCUGAAACAUAUUUUGAGUAUUUCAACCUUAAUAACUCUGAUUUGGAUGAAAUCAAUAAAAAGACAAGACUAAGAUCACAAGAAUCCCCAACAGAAGAAAUGCCAAGAGGACUAGAAUCUUACCAGACGGUGGUAUUAAUAAUGGAGCAGCCUAGAACUGAUGACAAAGACACCAAGUCUGAAAUGACACAGAGAAUAUAAAUAUUGUGAGAUGGCUCCCUUACCCUCCCAAAUUCCAUCUGUUUUGCCAAAUAUUUUCAUUUCCUUUGCAUUAUUCAUGGUAAAGUAUGGAAAACAGAAUCACACAUCACAUCCAAAAAUGCUCUGCUGGUGACAUUGUAAGAUUCACUCCUUUUGUCAUAAAUCUCUUCAAAUAAUAAAUUGGUGAUUAUUGAAAAAU
Trichechus manatus latirostris (Florida manatee) is the source of this 742-nucleotide long non-coding RNA. RefSeq lists it as uncharacterized. The record is from RefSeq and is a predicted model, not a curated record. The transcript is spliced from 2 exons. NCBI's taxonomy places the organism in Eukaryota, Metazoa, Chordata, Mammalia, Sirenia, Trichechidae.